Molecule: ribosomal RNA, 501 nt
Filed under: uncultured bacterium
Lineage: Bacteria
Description: partial 16S ribosomal RNA
Rfam family: Bacterial small subunit ribosomal RNA
Source: RNAcentral
AUUGAACGCUGGCGGCAGGCUUAACACAUGCAAGUCGAGCGGGGGUAGGUAGCUUGCUACCGGACCUAGCGGCGGACGGGUGAGUAAUGCUUAGGAAUCUGCCUAUUAGUGGGGGACAACAUCUCGAAAGGGAUGCUAAUACCGCUUACGUCCUACGGGAGAAAGCAGAGGAACUUCGGACCUUGCGCUAAUAGAUGAGCUUAAGCCGGAUUAGCUAGUUGGUGGGUUAAAGGCCUACCAAGGCGACGAUCUGUAGCGGGUCUGAGAGGAUGUUCCACCACACCGGGACUGAGAAACGGCACAGAGUCCUACGGGAGGCAGCAGUGGGGAAUAUUGGACAAUGGGGGGAACCCUGAUCCAGCCAUGCCGCGUGUGUGAAGAAGGCCUUAUGGUUGUAAAGCACUUUAAGCGAGGAGGAGGCUACUCUAGUUAAUACCUAGGGAUAGUGGACGUGACUCGCAGAAUAAGCACCGGCUAACUCUGUGCCAGCCGCCGCGGUAA